This 276-nucleotide long non-coding RNA is filed under the name Lathyrus oleraceus (garden pea). RNAcentral describes it as "Pisum sativum (pea) long non-coding RNA (PSAT_LNC034214)". Lineage: Eukaryota; Viridiplantae; Streptophyta; Magnoliopsida; Fabales; Fabaceae. The record is from RNAcentral.
UCAGAAGUAUUUUAAAAUAUUUAAAAACAAAUCAAAAAUCAUUUAAUUCACAAAAAAUAUCAAAGUUAAUAAAAAAAUGAUUUUAAUUCAAAAUAUGGAAGAGGAAAAUAUUUAAAGAUUUUUGGUGAAAAUCCCAUAUUUUUUGGAUUAAAAAUGAAAUUUCUAUGAAUAAAAUAAAAUAAAAGGAUUAAAAGGAAAAUCAUAAAUUAAAAAGAAAAUAGAAAAAACAAGGGCCAUCAGAUCUUUCUCAUUAAUUGAGGUUGCAUAUCUGAUGAC